RNAcentral lists this ribosomal RNA (923 nucleotides) under Podospora sp. 3169. RNAcentral's name for it is "eukaryotic LSU rRNA". The stretch from base 144 to 297 matches the Rfam family "5.8S ribosomal RNA". Lineage: Eukaryota; Fungi; Ascomycota; Sordariomycetes; Sordariales; Podosporaceae. The record is from RNAcentral.
GGGUUACUAGAGCUGUGGGCUUUGCCCACUGUCUCUUACCCAUGUCUUUUGAGUACUUACGUUUCCUCGGUGGGCUCGCCCGCCGGUUGGACAAUUUAAACCAUUUGCAGUUGCAAUCAGCGUCUGAAAAACAUAAUAGUUACAACUUUCAACAACGGAUCUCUUGGUUCUGGCAUCGAUGAAGAACGCAGCGAAAUGCGAUAAGUAGUGUGAAUUGCAGAAUUCAGUGAAUCAUCGAAUCUUUGAACGCACAUUGCGCCCCUUGGUAUUCCAUGGGGCAUGCCUGUUCGAGCGUCAUUUGUACCUUCAAGCUCUGCUUGGUGUUGGGUGUUUGUCUCGCCUUGCGCGUAGACUCGCCUUAAAACAAUUGGCAGCCGGCGUAUUGAUUUCGGAGCGCAGUACAUCUCGCGCUUUGCACUCAUAACGACGACGUCCAAAAGUACUUUUUACACUCUUGACCUCGGAUCAGGUAGGGAUACCCGCUGAACUUAAGCAUAUCAAUAAGCCGGAGGAAAAUCAUUACCUAGAGUUUGUGGGCUUUGCCACUGUCUCUUACCCAUGUCUUUUGAGUACUUACGUUUCUGGUGGGCUCGCGCGUUGGACAAUUUAAACAUUUGCGUUGCAAUCACUCUGAAAAACAUAAUAGUUACAACUUUCACAACGAUCUCUUGUUUCUGGCUCAUGAAAAAGCACAAAUGCAUAAGUAGUGUGAAUUGCAGAAUUCAUGAAUCAUCAAUCUUUGAACGCAUUGCUGGCCUAUUCAGGGGGCAUGCGUUUCAGCUCUUUUUACUUACCUCUGUCUGUUGGGUGUUGUCUGCUUGCGCCUCAACCUACCCUGGGAGACCAAUUGAGUUCGGAGCAUGACUUGCUCAUACACACCUCAAAGCAUUUUUAUCUGACUCGACAGGUAGGAUUACCCUACU